This 386-nucleotide ribosomal RNA is filed under the name uncultured bacterium. RNAcentral's name for it is "bacterial SSU rRNA". It matches the Rfam family "Bacterial small subunit ribosomal RNA", at positions 30 to 416 of the family's 1533-position model. The record is from RNAcentral.
AUUGAACGCUGGCGGCAUGCCUUACACAUGCAAGUCGAACGGCAGCACGGGAGCAAUCCUGGUGGCGAGUGGCGAACGGGUGAGUAAUAUAUCGGAACGUGCCCGGUCGUGGGGAUAACGUAGCGAAAGCUACGCUAAUACCGCAUACGAUCUACGGAUGAAAGCGGGGGAUCGCAAGACCUCGCGCGAUUGGAGCGGCCGAUAUCAGAUUAGAUAGUUGGUGAGGUAAAGGCUCACCAAGCCGACGAUCUGUAGCUGGUCUGAGAGGACGACCAGCCACACUGGGACUGAGACACGGCCCCAGACUCCUACGGGAGGCAGCAGUGGGGAAUUUUGGACAAUGGGCGCAAGCCUGAUCCAGCAAUGCCGCGUGCAGGAUGAAGGCC